CCUACGGGCGGCAGCAGUGGGGAAUAUUGGACAAUGGGGGGAACCCUGAUCCAGCCAUGCCGCGUGUGUGAAGAAGGCCCUCGGGUUGUAAAGCACUUUCAGUGAGGAAGAACGCCUGGUGGUUAAUACCCAUCAGGAAAGACAUCACUCACAGAAGAAGCACCGGCUAACUCCGUGCCAGCAGCCGCGGUAAUACGGAGGGUGCGAGCGUUAAUCGGAAUUACUGGGCGUAAAGCGCGCGUAGGUGGCUUGAUAAGCCGGUUGUGAAAGCCCCGGGCUCAACCUGGGAACGGCAUCCGGAACUGUCAAGCUAGAGUGCAGGAGAGGAAGGUAGAAUUCCCGGUGUAGCGGUGAAAUGCGUAGAGAUCAGGAGGAAUACCAGUGGCGAAGGCGGCCUUCUGGACUGACACUGACACUGAGGUGCGAAAGCGUGGGUAGCAAACAGGAUUAGAUACCCCGGUAGUC
This 465-nucleotide ribosomal RNA is filed under the name Vreelandella stevensii. RNAcentral's name for it is "partial 16S ribosomal RNA". It matches the Rfam family "Bacterial small subunit ribosomal RNA", at positions 338 to 795 of the family's 1533-position model. The record is from RNAcentral. Lineage: Bacteria; Pseudomonadati; Pseudomonadota; Gammaproteobacteria; Oceanospirillales; Halomonadaceae.